RNAcentral lists this ribosomal RNA (253 nucleotides) under uncultured bacterium. RNAcentral's name for it is "partial 16S ribosomal RNA". It matches the Rfam family "Bacterial small subunit ribosomal RNA", at positions 524 to 776 of the family's 1533-position model. The record is from RNAcentral.
GACGUAGGGCGCGUGCGUUGUCCGGAUUUAUUGGGCGUAAAGAGCUCGUAGGCGGCUUGUCGCGUCGACUGUGAAAUCCCGAGGCUCAACUUCGGGCUUGCAGUCGAUACGGGCAGGCUAGAGUUCGGUAGGGGAGACUGGAAUUCCUGGUGUAGCGGUGAAAUGCGCAGAUAUCAGGAGGAACACCGAUGGCGAAGGCAGGUCUCUGGGCCGAUACUGACGCUGAGGAGCGAAAGCGUGGGGAGCGAACAGG